CUUUCAUGAACUUGAACUUAUCUGCAGUUGAGAACAAAAAAAGUGAUAAAAAUCUGGGUAAUGAAAGUGCAUUGGUUUCGAUUUUCAGUGGUUUGUUUGAGAGCUAAUCUUGAUCUUUCUGAAGUUGCUGGUAAAAAUAUUGUAAAUGAGUUGUGUGGGUACAGCCUAUGGUGGAUUAAAAAGUUCUUGCUCGUACCUGGAGAUGUCAGCUAUUGGCCCACCUGAAAUAAAAUCCUGUGUAAGAAAACAUUAACAACCUGAGCCUGAGUGAGAAGUCUCAUUCAGUGUUCAUGCUUGUGGCCUGGGGAGCAUGAGGCGAUCUGACAUAAGAUACACAAGCCAAUUACUACUUAAUGCUUACUGAAUAAUUCACUGAAAAAUGGAUCGUAGAAGUGUGCUUAAUGCUUUACUCAAUUCUGAAAUUGUGAUUAAAAUGUGUGACUGAACCAAGCAGAAGCUUGGCACUAAAUCUGCUUGUUAGUAUUGGCAAUAGAUUAUUAUUGUUGUUUUUUGUUGUUGUUGUUGUUUGUUUGUUUGUUUGUUUGUUUGUUUGUUUUUGGUUUUUUAAGAGGAAGAAGCUCAAAAGAGCUGGAGUAUUUUGAUUUGAAAAUUGGCAAAUGUGAUUGCCUGAGGGGUAGACAGGGGUAGAAACUGUUUUAUUGAGUAGAUAAGAAUUCUGAACACAGCAGGAAACAUAAUCUACAAAGCUUUCCAAAAAUGCCAGCACUGAUAUUAAAUAUGUAUGCCUCACCCCAUUUGAGUAAUAAGAGUACUGUGAGUUAAAUUUAUUUCUCACAGUGGUGAAAAACACAUCCCACACAGAUAUGAUAAAGCACCAGAAGAACAAUGAGACAACCUGGGGGAUGAGCACUGCUGUGCUACCAACCAGCAGGCCUACGGCCCCUCCAACCUCUUCCCGCACCCCCAGGCGAAGAGAAUCCCAAGGAUAAGGCUGUGGGCAAGGUCCCUGUGCUACACGGCUCCCAUGCACUUCCUAGAGCCUGCCUGGCCCAGCUCCCCGGACACGGGAACCUCCACUACUUCCCUUGGAUCAAAAGAAAAAAUAUGCUGUCCAAAGUACUCCGCUACAUGCCACAGGCAAGCAGACCAUCCUGCACAUAGCUUGACUUGCCUAAGAAAUUUGCUUUGCUCCGUAGUGUUUGAAGAAUCUUUGUGGGAUUUUUUGUGGGAAAGCCAUAACAUGCAUUAACUCUCGGACUUCACAAUUCUUCACCUUAUCUGCAAGCAAAUAAAAAGUCUGUGGAAAUCUAAAUGGUAGAUUUG
This 1284-nucleotide long non-coding RNA is filed under the name Anas platyrhynchos platyrhynchos (common mallard). RNAcentral's name for it is "lncRNA (ENSAPLG00000019221.1)". The record is from RNAcentral. Lineage: Eukaryota; Metazoa; Chordata; Aves; Anseriformes; Anatidae.